Molecule: ribosomal RNA, 803 nt
Filed under: Corynespora submersa
Lineage: Eukaryota; Fungi; Ascomycota; Dothideomycetes; Pleosporales; Corynesporascaceae
Description: Corynespora sp. ZLL-2019b partial large subunit ribosomal RNA
Rfam family: Eukaryotic large subunit ribosomal RNA
Source: RNAcentral
UUUGAAAUCUGGCCCUCUAGGGGGUCCGAGUUGUAAUUUGCAGAGGGUGCUUUGGCGUUGGCAGCGGUCUAAGUUCCUUGGAACAGGACGUCACAGAGGGUGAGAAUCCCGUACGUGGUCGCCAGCCUUCGCCGUGUAAAGCCCCUUCGACGAGUCGAGUUGUUUGGGAAUGCAGCUCUAAAUGGGAGGUAAAUUUCUUCUAAAGCUAAAUACUGGCCAGAGACCGAUAGCGCACAAGUAGAGUGAUCGAAAGAUGAAAAGCACUUUGGAAAGAGAGUCAAAAAGCACGUGAAAUUGUUGAAAGGGAAGCGCUUGCAGCCAGACUUGCCUGUAGUUGCUCAGCCGGGCUCCGGCCCGGUGCACUCUUCUGCGGGCAGGCCAGCAUCAGUUCGGGCGGCCGGAUAAAGACCUCUGUCACGUACCUCCCUUCGGGGAGGACUUAUAGGGGAGGUGAAAUGCGGCCAGUCCGGACUGAGGUCCGCGCAUCUGCUAGGAUGCUGGCGUAAUGGCUGUAAGCGGCCCGUCUUGAAACACGGACCAAGGAGUCUAACAUCUAUGCGAGUGUUUGGGUGUCAAGCCCGAGCGCGUAAUGAAAGUGAACGGAGGUGGGAACCCCUCGGGGUGCACCAUCGACCGAUCCUGAUGUCUUCGGAUGGAUUUGAGUAAGAGCAUAGCUGUUGGGACCCGAAAGAUGGUGAACUAUGCUUGAAUAGGGUGAAGCCAGAGGAAACUCUGGUGGAGGCUCGCAGCGGUUCUGACGUGCAAAUCGAUCGUCAAAUUUGGGCAUAGGGGCGAAAGACUAA